CAUUCCCGAACUUUAUCAGGGCUCCACAAUUUAAGGGUAUUAAACUCAGGUAGAUUGUAUCUGGAUAGGAUAUCUAGUAGGUUUUUAUGCCAAGUAGUAUUAUUUUGUAAUAAUACAAAGGCUUGUUUAGCCAAUAAGGUGUUCGGGGCAUCUGUGAGGUUGGUGAAAAAACGCAGGAAUCUUAAGUGGGCCCUGGCAGACACAGAAGGUAAUCCUACUUCCACUCUUAGGAGAGCUGCCGGAGUACUCUGAGGGAGGCCUAGAAUUCUUCUGAGGUAGAAAUUUUGGAAGAUUUCAAGCCGUUCUAACAGCUUCUGAUUCCAUCCCCAGAGUUCUACUCCAUAUAGCAUCUGGGGAAUCACUUUUCCAACAAAAGCUUUUAAUGCCGGGAUCACCAGUUGCCCUCCCUCGAAUAAAAAAGCUGAGCAGGGCACCGAUUGUCCUACGUGUUAGAAGGGCUACAGUCUUGAAGUGGGCAAGCCAGCUAGAUGUAGCUUGGAAAGUGAUACCAAGAUAUUUAAAAAAAAGACACUGUUCAAUUUUGUGUUCAUCUAAAGACCAUCUAAAUGUGUGGCGAGCUCUAGUAAAUACCACAAUUUUUGUUUUGUCAUAAUUUAUCUUUAGAGAGUUUUGGGAACAAUAAGCUGCGAGCCCCUCCAGCAUGCUAUGUAGGCCCCUUCGAGUAAGUGCCAUGACAGCCAUGUCAUCAGCAUAUAGUAAUAUAUUCAGGUGUUUGCCUUCCAGGGCAGGAGCUGAUGACUUAUACUUUGCCAUAUGUUGAACAAUGUCAUUUAUAUAGAAAUUAAAGAGGAACGGCGCUAACAAACAGCCCUGUUUAACCCCUUUCCCCAGUGGCAGUGGAUCAGUAUAGUUGCCUGACAUCCCAGUUCUGAUUUUAACUGUGGUGUCUGAAUGUAACUCUCUAAGUAUUUUGAGAAGUCGUCUAUCAAUAUCUGUUUCAUAUAAUUUUUGCCAUAAUUUGUCCCUACAGAUUGAAUCAAAAGCGGAUGUGAGAUCUACGAAAGCCACAAAAAGUUUGCUCUUAUGUACCUUUGUAUACUUAUCUAUCAUUGUCUGUAGUACCAAACAAUGGCCUGUUGUACUAUGGCCCUUUCUAAACCCUGCC
Molecule: non-coding RNA, 1126 nt
Organism: Podarcis lilfordi (Lilford's wall lizard)
Lineage: Eukaryota; Metazoa; Chordata; Lepidosauria; Squamata; Lacertidae
Source: the annotation of a GenBank genome assembly